GGCACAGUGGCAGAGUGGUCUAAUGCGCUAGACUCGAAAUCUAGUCUCUUCGGAGGCGCCUGUUCAAAUCAGGCCUGUGUCG
Molecule: transfer RNA, 82 nt
Filed under: Immersiella caudata
Lineage: Eukaryota; Fungi; Ascomycota; Sordariomycetes; Sordariales; Lasiosphaeriaceae
Also listed under: 1 other name
Description: Cercophora caudata tRNA
Rfam family: tRNA
About the family: Transfer RNA (tRNA) molecules are approximately 80 nucleotides in length.
Source: Rfam by way of RNAcentral